CCUUUGACGUUAGCGGCGGACGGGUGAGUAACACGUGGGUAACCUACCUAUAAGGCUGGGAUAACUUCGGGAAACCGGAGCUAAUACCGGAUAAUAUUUCGAACCGCAUGGUUCGAUAGUGAAAGAUGGUUUUGCUAUCACUUAUAGAUGGACCCGCGCCGUAUUAGCUAGUUGGUAAGGUAACGGCUUACCAAGGCGACGAUACGUAGCCGACCUGAGAGGGUGAUCGGCCACACUGGAACUGAGACACGGUCCAGACUCCUACGGGAGGCAGCAGCC
RNAcentral lists this ribosomal RNA (279 nucleotides) under uncultured Staphylococcus sp. RNAcentral's name for it is "partial 16S ribosomal RNA". It matches the Rfam family "Bacterial small subunit ribosomal RNA", at positions 83 to 355 of the family's 1533-position model. The record is from RNAcentral. Lineage: Bacteria; Bacillati; Bacillota; Bacilli; Caryophanales; Staphylococcaceae.